RNAcentral lists this ribosomal RNA (460 nucleotides) under uncultured bacterium. Its description in RNAcentral is "partial 16S ribosomal RNA". It matches the Rfam family "Bacterial small subunit ribosomal RNA", at positions 338 to 795 of the family's 1533-position model. The record is from RNAcentral.
CCUACGGGAGGCAGCAGUGAGGAAUAUUGGUCAAUGGCCGUAAGGCUGAACCAGCCAAGUCGCGUGAAGGAAGAAGGAUCUAUGGUUUGUAAACUUCUUUUAUAGGGGCAUAAAGGUAUCCACGUGUGGAUAUUUGAAUGUACCCUAUGAAUAAGCAUCGGCUAACUCCGUGCCAGCAGCCGCGGUAAUACGGAGGAUGCGAGCGUUAUCCGGAUUUAUUGGGUUUAAAGGGUGCGUAGGUUGUUUGUUAAGUCAGAGGUGAAAGUUUGUGGCUCAACCAUAAAAUUGCCGUUGAUACUGGAAGGCUUGAGUGUAUUUGAGGUAGGCGGAAUGCAUGGUGUAGCGGUGAAAUGCAUAGAGAUCACGCAGAACACCGAUUGCGAAGGCAGCUUACUAAGCCAUAACUGACGCUGAGGCACGAAAGCGUGGGGAGCAAACAGGAUUAGAUACCCCAGUAGUC